UACGGAGGGUGCAAGCGUUAAUCGGAAUUACUGGGCGUAAAGCGCACGCAGGUGGCUGAGUCAGUCGAUUGUGAAAGCCCUGGGCUUAACCUGGGAAUUGCAGUCGAUACUACUCAGCUAGAGUAUGGGAGAGGGUAGUGGAAUUCCCGGUGUAGCGGUGAAAUGCGCAGAUAUCGGGAGGAACACCAGUGGCGAAGGCGACUACCUGGCCCAUUCUUGACGCUGAGGCGCGAAAGCUAGGGGAGCGAACGGG
Molecule: ribosomal RNA, 253 nt
Filed under: uncultured bacterium
Lineage: Bacteria
Description: partial 16S ribosomal RNA
Rfam family: Bacterial small subunit ribosomal RNA
Source: RNAcentral